RNAcentral lists this ribosomal RNA (253 nucleotides) under uncultured bacterium. Its description in RNAcentral is "partial 16S ribosomal RNA". It matches the Rfam family "Bacterial small subunit ribosomal RNA", at positions 524 to 776 of the family's 1533-position model. The record is from RNAcentral.
UACGAAGGGGGCUAGCGUUGCUCGGAAUCACUGGGCGUAAAGGGUGCGUAGGCGGGUCUUUAAGUCAGGGGUGAAAUCCUGGAGCUCAACUCCAGAACUGCCUUUGAUACUGAAGAUCUUGAGUUCGGGAGGGGAGAGCGGAAUUCCUAGUGUAGCGGUGAAAUGCGCAGAUAUUAGGAAGAACACCGGUGGCGAAGGCGGCUCUCUGGCCCGGUACUGACGCUGAGGUGCGAAAGCGUGGGGAGCAAACAGG